UUAAGCCCUGCCCCCUGUAAAAGAAGCCUUUUUUAGGAAGUGCUGAUGUGGGGCCCAUACAAGAAUGAUGAGUGAUUUAAUUACCUGUUAAUGUUUGGAAAUCUGCACCUUAAAUCCCAGAAUUCUGGGUCCUUCAUGCUUUUGGCCAAGAAACACAGUGUUGUUGGAGGCCCAGGGUUGUGUCUGACUCACGAUCUCUGUCUUGGUGGCAGACCCCUGAGGAGUUGGAUGACUCUGACUUUGAGACAGAAGAUUUUGAUGUCAGAAGCAGGACGAGCGUCCAGACAGAAGAUGACCAGCUGAUAGCUGGCCAAAGUGCACGGGUAAGGAAGUGCUCCUUGGGGCAUUUUAACUUGUUCUGCAGACCUUUCCUGUCCUUCUCAAGCCUUGCCUUUUUCUCUUCCAGGAAAACACUCUCAGUAUUUUUCUCUAACAGUAGGACUGAAGUUAACCUAAGUUGUGGCACCUGCUGUUCAACUGGAAGCAGAGCAGGAACAUGGGCCUCCUCCUCAGCUGUGCCCUAGGGUUCUGGUUUAUGAUAAAUCCCUGGGUCAGAAAAGGCUUAGGAUCUAGUCGAUGCAACAUUUGUUAAAAGGAUUGUGAAAUUUGAAAAAGAUUGCUGCCUUUGCCCAGCUCACUGAUACCGUGGAUAUGAGCUAUUUUAAUUAUUCAUGAGUUUAAAAAAAAUAACUGGUACAUUCAAGAAGAAAACCAGUCAGUCAUUGCAGUCAAGUCAUUAAAUCUUCAAUCAAUAGCAUUUGUUUUUGGAAGGACACCAAGAAAUAUUUCUAUGGAGAAUUUUUUUUUUUUUUUAACUCCUUGGAAAUCCAUCUUGAGCAGUGACCAUGUCACUGUUUUAAGUCCUGCUCAGGCACGAACACUUCAGGAAACGAAGAGGCAGAGCCUUGGCCCUGGGCCUGUGGCCUUGAGGGCUCCAGGUGCUGCUUUAACAUGGUUUAAGUGGCUGUCAGAUAGCUGCUUAAUGUAUGUUCCACUAGAAUGUAUGUUCCUCAGCAAAUUCUUCUCUGCCUUUCUCUUCAAAAUUAACAUCCUAAAGCUACUUCUGAUAUACUUUGAAAACUUGGACAUGUCCAUUCAGAGCCCGCAGGCUCUGAAUGAGCUCUACACAUUCUUUAUCGCCUCCUCUCAUUUUCUGGGAGGCAGAAGAUAAAACUUUUAAAGAAUUAAACCAAAUUUAAACCAGUUUCUGUUCCUACAUAGAUGUGACUGUGAAAGUUCCACACUAGUUCCACCCCUCUCACGCUCUUUCCCUGCACACUAAAUCUUGCUCUUGAAAGUGGUUUGGGAAUUUAGGCUGCCAUAAAUGUCAGUAAAAAAUGAGAAGAAAUAGCCCUUCAGGAAAAAUGAACCCCAUUAAAGCAUUAUCCAACCUAUGUCAUACACUGCCUGUUGGAGAUAUUCUUGGCUAAUGCACUGUGAGAACUUCACACUCUUUACAUAAGAGCUUUCUGUACUUCUGAUUGUAGGCAAUCAUGGCUCAGCUUCCCCAGGAGCAAAAAGCAAAGAUUGCGGAACAGGUGGCCAGUUUCCAGGAAGAAAAAAGCAAGCUGGAUGCAGAAGUGUCUAAAUGGGAUGACAGUGGCAACGACAUCAUCGUGCUGGCCAAGCAGAUGUGUAUGAUUAUGAUGGAGAUGACUGAUUUUACCCGGUGAGCAGCACCCCACCCUGGCGGGCUGAUAGGAGACAGGACAGUUUUCUUCCCCACAGGCCAGGUUGCUUUGUAAGACAUUUUCUGUUCUGUUCAUCUCUGAACCUGCGGGGGUGUCAUGGACAGGGAUCCUUAUUCUCGUUUUUCAGAGGUAAAGGACCACUCAAAAAUACAUCAGAUGUGAUUAGUGCUGCCAAGAAAAUUGCUGAGGCAGGAUCCAGGAUGGAUAAACUUGGCCGAACCAUCGCAGAUCACGUAAGUGACGAACUUUCCUGAACUUAUCUCUGAGCUUAUCCUAGGCUCAGACAGUUCAGAUUGACCUAUUGCUGAGGUGGCCAUUAAUGAUCAUAGCACUCUUAUAUUAUCCAAAAAUUAUUCUGACCUAUUUUAAUCCCACCAUAAAUUUCUAAGGAUUUCUGUAGUGUCUUUGACAAAUCUGAGGAGCUAGGUCUGGUUCCCAUUAGAACUCAUCUCAGUUAAUAUACAAUGAACACUUGCUGUUGAUUUAUUUAUUUCUCAGUUCUUAAGAACUUCAGGUCUGAGCAGAAACUGAUUCUGCCAACCCUAACACACUAGAAACACAUGUAUCUCUCUCACGGUUUAUUUCAUAUAAAAAUCAGGAGCCCUAGUGGGGUGGGGUAGUGCACAUCUGUAAUCCAGCUACUCAGGAGACUAAGGCAGGAGAAUCACAAACUCAAGGCCAGCCUAGGCCAACUUAGGGAGACCUUUAAAAGUGUCAGUGAUAGAGUGCUUGCCUAGCUGUGUGAAAGAAUCCCCAGCAUGGGGACCCCCCACCCCCAAACAAAACAAAAAAACCCACCCCAUUGGCCAGCAGCAUUUUGAAAUGCUGCUGUGCCUAGCUGGGGACAGACUUCCAUGUUCUUUGUAUUGCCUGUUCUCAACCAGCAGUUUCAUCCCUUUAUUCCCUCAUAGUAAUAGGUCAGAAAACUAUGCUUCUAUCUCCUGGAUAGUGUGGUGCUCUAAGACUUAUCAGAGAAGCUAAUUUUUCCCUCCACAUUCUUUUUUCUGAAUUAUUCAAACUUUCAGCCUCAUCUACUGCCAGAUGAGUGACAGCUGCCCCUCAUUACUCAAAGCAAAUAUUCUGGAAUCAUCCUUCACACCACCCAGUAAGAAGCCUUGUUGCUUCUAGUGACCAUAUAUGUAUCUUGACACCAUCAAAGUUUUUCCUGUCUGAAAUUAACAGCUCUAUCCAGAGCUCCAUUCCACCUAUCUUAACCACCAUGGCCUCUCCCUUCCUCUUUCCUGUCUUCACCCUAUUCUGCAUGCAGCUACCAACACUGCCAUCAUAAAACACAGGGCCUUCUUAGAAAAAAAUUCAGUCUCCAGAAUGAACUACAAGCCUCAUUUUAUACAACUCUGUUGUUCACAGUGAGGCCCCAGUCUCAUCGGAAGAAAGUGUUUCAAACAUUUGAGAGGUGUGAGGAUUCCUCCUUUAGGUAAAGCAACCUGAGAUUCAACAGUAAUCAGGAGCUGGGCAGGGCCACUGUUUCCCUGUAUUUAGUCAAGGUUUCUUGCUUUGGUUUACUUCUACAUCCUCCAUCUUUGCCUCAAGUGAAUGUCUCCUGUCAUUGGCUGUUUAAUAUUUGCACCCAAAACUGGGCAAGUAAAAUGCUUCACGGCAGAAGAGCUGUUUUGUUUGACUGGGUAGUGUCCGUAGCUUAACACAUUCUUUUCUACGUAAUCAGGCUCUUGCUGAGACUUUUUAGGGCCAUAUGCUUCCUCCCUACUAAAAAAUUGAAUCCUUGGCAGUAGUGGUUUCUCCCAAGUUGUGGAGUUAGUGAAAGGAGGGCUCAGGAAGUCUUUAUGUCCCAUGCUAUGCAGCACAUUUAGGGCUCCCUGAGGGGACUUGCCUCCUUCCCUGAGCCAAGUGAUGUGAACACCCCAAAUAACUGGGUAAUUUAUCUCUCUUGCCCUUUGCUCCAGCAAGAGGAGAGGAAACUUUCAGAACUGGGCCUAGGGUGGGGUGCUGUCACUGGGCCUGCAGUGUUAUUGAGCCUGCUGAGUUUGUUCUCCCCUCAGUGUCCAGACUCAGCCUGCAAGCAGGACCUGCUGGCCUACCUGCAACGCAUUGCCCUCUACUGCCACCAGCUCAACAUUUGCAGCAAAGUCAAGGCUGAGGUCCAGAACCUUGGUGGAGAGCUUGUUGUCUCUGGGGUAAGUGUUAGUGCAUUCCUGCUCAUCACCUUUUCUUACCACUAUGUCUAAAAUGAAAGCAGCCUCUAGUCUUAUCUAUAUACACUCCUCACUUGGGGAACAUGUGCUAGGCAGAAACUCCCAAGUUCUCUCUUGGUCCCCGGAGGCCACAAGCUGCACAUCUCCCUGCAGAAUUGCAGCUCUGUUUAGCAUGGCAUGAUUAGUGAUAGCUACAGCCACUACCAGAGCUGGCCACUCAUUGGGAAAAAUAUUUUUAUCUUUCCCAGAGAAGAAUUAAGCCUCUUCAGAAAUUGCAAAGUAGACAGUCUGCUUUCUUCUACCCAAUAGUGCAGAAUUGUAGCUAUUCUUUUUCCUGUUAAUCGGGUCUCAAUUUUGGGUCCUCCUCACCUUGUUUUGCUGAGUCCCCACAACUUCUGUUAAUCCCACGGAAUUUCCUUUAAAAGGAAUAUUUCAGGGGCUGGGGAUGUGGCUCAAGCGGUAGCGCGCUCGCCUGGCAUGCGUGCGGCCCGGGUUCGACCCUCAGCACCACAUACAAACAAAGAUGUUGUGUCUGCCGAAAACCAAAAAAUAAAUAUUUAAAAAAAUAAAUAAAUAAAAGGAAUAUUUCAGCCAGGCACAAUGAGACACAACUAUAAUCCCAGCUGCUUGGGAGGCUGAGGCAGGACACUGAGGAGGAUCAAAAGUUUGAGGCCAGCCUGAGCACCUUAGCAAGACCCUGUCUCUAAAAAGGUGACAGAGUGCUUGGGUAACAUACACAAGGCCGAAUACUGCCAAAAAAAAAAUUGAACAUUUGACACCCUUUACUCAUCUGUCUUCUAUGGAGCAAUCUUCCAGAUCCUCUAAAAUGAGGGAGGAGAUGCCUGUGUCAUGAAUGAAAGCAGAGGGGGAAUAGGUAUAUUGGUCAGAUAGGGGCUUGACUGGAUUCCUCCUCAGUGCUUCUAGUUCUUCAGUCACUCAGUGUCAAAAAGAUAGAUGCCAAUCCACCUCCAGUGUUUGUUUUGUGAACGAAUGUUUGAGGGGUGGAAGAAGGCAAAAUGAUGAUGACCUAUAUACUUUCUUGCACGCCCUUUCCUUUGUCAGAGGAUCUGAAACAUGGGUAUUUUAAGGCUUUUUGUAUCCAAUCAGAAACAAGGUUGCUGGCCAGUAUUCUGUACUCUGGGGACCUGCCCAGAUUUUGGUGCUAGAGGGUCAUUGCCAUCAGAUAUGACUCCUUACUGUCCCAUUUGUGCCUUGUAGGUGGACAGUGCCAUGUCCCUGAUCCAGGCAGCCAAGAACUUGAUGAAUGCUGUGGUGCAGACAGUGAAGGCAUCCUAUGUAGCCUCUACCAAAUACCAAAAGUCCCAGGGCAUGGCUUCCCUCAACCUUCCUGCUGUGUCCUGGAAGAUGAAGGCACCUGAGAAGAAGCCCUUGGUGAAGAGAGAGAAGCAGGAUGAGACACAGACCAAGAUUAAGCGGGCAUCUCAGAAGAAGCAUGUGAACCCUGUGCAGGCCCUCAGUGAGUUCAAAGCCAUGGACAGCAUCUAAUUCUGCCUUAACCACCUGCCCCCACCCGCGGGGGCUCUUAAAGAUCAAUCACUGUUCUUCACUCAAGUAUACUUGCUAAGUAGAGAACACUUACAUAGGAAGAUUUUGAAACCAGCCAGGUGGUGAAUUUUGCCAGGAUAUGUUUAAAUUGGUCAAAAAAUGCUUUUAGAUUCAGGAGCAUAUUUCUAGCUGUAUUUUUAUAAGCUUAAAUAAAAAUUCCAUAACCAAAGCAAAUCCCACAUUAACUUGUUAGUAACAAUCAGAUUGGAAUACCCAUUCUCUCAGCAAAGAGAGUGGACUCAACUGUGGAGGAGGAAUGUCCCAGAAAGGUCUUGCAAGGGAUAAAAACAUCAUGAAAAACAAAACACACAAAAAAACUCGAUUAUUUUUUAUGAAAUAAGAAUUAUAAUGCAUGGCUACAAUUACUAAUGCACUCUGCUGCAGAACAUUAAUAAUAAUGUUGCUUUUUUCAGGCUGGGAUGUUGGGAUGCCAUAAUUUGAACAUGCUUUUUUCUCCCCAACUGCAUAGGCAAAGUCAUCAUUGGGCUCACUUCUAAUAAUUGCAGUGUUUCCUGCCUUAGGCUUGCAAUAGAAGCCUGACAGAAUGAAUAUGUUUGCUUAGGCCAUAAUUUAGAUUUUACCUUAUUUGUGAUUACUACAUUGAUUACUAUAGCUACAAGGUAUACUUUUACUGUCUUAUUUAAAUUUUAUUAAUUUGAAUGUUUUUUACACUAGCUUUUCCCAAUAAAGUCCACUAUGAAACCAAAUAUAAGAGGCUGAAGUCACUGUAUCUGCUUUCAGGAAGCGUCUUGGGGACUGGGUUGCAGCUCAGUGGUGCAGCACUUGCCUAGGGUGUGAGAAACCCUAUAUCAGUCACCAGAACCACAAUACUCUUGGACUUGUCAUAGCAUCUGCGCCCUCCCCAUCUUCUCCCAGGACAGUUGCUCAGUGAGGGACACUAUGCCCAUAGUUUUAGGGAGGGCCAUAUUGCCUCAUAGGCUCAUGACAGGCCACACCCUUGUCCCAUUGAAUAUCCCAACCUGUACCUCCAUCUUGGGAACUCACAUGAACAUUCUUCAAGGUUCGCAUCAAGACCUUGGAGGCACAAUUGAUUCUUCCUUUCUCUUCUACAUUUUUUUCUUAACAUUCAACCAUGCCAUGAAAAUAAGUGCCUUAGAACUAAAAACUCACCUUAGCUCCCUGUCUCUUCCCAACAACCAUCCCCUUCUUAGUCAAAACUCCUUAAAGAAAUGGCUAUUGUCAUUGUCACCUUUAUGUAAGUUCUGUCACUUCAGUCAGCUGUCAUCUUGCCUGCUCUAGCUUCAUCCCUCUUGCCUUCCACACUGCAACACUGGCUUUUUCUUCCACGAUCCCACUGACCACACCCAAGGAAUGGUCAGGGGGACCAGUCCUUGCGCAAAGCACUUCCAUUUCCAGAUGCCUCCCCUGGGUUUUCUGUCUUCACCAACAGCUUUUCUGUGUUGAAGGGCGUGUCUGUACCUGGGCCUCUUCCUUUCUCUGUCAAUGCUCACUCUUCUAAUUCAGCCUCUAUUCCUAUCUUUUACACUGUCACUUGGAUGCCUAAUAACAUCUCAAGCUUGACCCGUCUGGACCACACUGCCAUCACUGCCCUCUACCACUCAUGCCCAAAGCCCUUCUUGCUAUUUUCCCCACCUCACUAGCUGGCACUACUAGUCACCUCAUUUCUCUGGCCAAAUAUCAAAAAAGCAAAACAAUCUCUUUUUAAAAUAUAAGAUCUUCCUACUUUUCCUAUACCACCUCUGUUUACAUUCCGGGUCAUGUUAUCAGUUAUUGCUGUUUAAACAGAUUUGCAAAACUUAGCAGCUAAAACACAGUUUCUGAAGGUCAAGAACCCGGGAGCAACUUGGCUGGGUGGUCAAGGUUCAGGGUCUCAUGACCAUGACAUCAGUUAAGGCUAUGGUGUCAGCUUGACUGUGGGGGGGGGGCGGGUUAUCUACUUCCAAGCUAGUUGAUGCUGCUGUUGGCAGAGGCCUCAGAUCCUUGCCUUGUGGGACCUUCCAAAGAACAGCUCACAACAUGGCAGCUGGCUUCCCCUGAAGUGAAGGAUCUGAGAGCAGCAGCAGCCAGAUGGAAGCCACAGUGUUCUUUUAAAACCCGAUCUGGAAAGUGAUUCCCCAUCACUGCUGCUACAUUGUUGGUCACAGACCUAUGCUGGUGCGACCAGGAGGUGGGCUGCCAGCCAGCAGCAGCCUCCCUGACCCAGAAGCCAGUUCACGUCUCCCCCUGAGCCCAAACUUUGCAUUGAUUUUCGGGCCCUCAGUAAAAGUCAAGGUCUUCAGUAAUGGCUAUGGCUCUGCACCCUCUGGCCUUUCUCUCUAACCAUUCUUCAUCAUUCUCUUUCUGUUCCUGGUCUCACUGACAUUCUUUCAACAUGCCAAGUGUUUCCUGCCUCAGCCUGUGUACAUGAGGUCCCCAGCCCAGAAAAUACUUCCCAAGGGAGCCCUGUGAAUUCUCUAGCAUUUCCUUCAACUGUCUCAUCAAAAGUCACCUUAUAAGAAGGACUGCCAUCCUUAUGGUGUCCUCUCUUCAUGGCUUUGAACUCUACGUAUCCGUAUUUGUUUCUGUUGUGUACUCUCUGUGGGCAGCAAAUCUUUAUUUUGUUCACCACAGAAUCACCAAGGUCCAGCAUACUUCCCACACAUGGAAAGCACUAGGGAUAUAGUUGCUCCGCAUUCUGUGGCUACUUAACCAGCAGCCUCCCUUUACCUGGCCUCUGCUGACACUCGGGGAUGUUCUUCUCAUUAUUAUUAUUAUUUUUUUUAAUUUUAUUUGUCAGUGGACCUUUAUUUUGCUUAUUUAUAUGUGGUGCUGAGAAUUGUACCUCUCACAUGCUAGGACAGUGCUCUACCACUGAGCCACACCCCCAGCCCUCUCAUUGGCUUUUGUUCUUUAGUUUGUCACACUCCAAAACUGUCUCCCACACCUCAGCACCAGAUCCAGUCUGUCUCCAUCUGUUUCAUCUGAUGUCCACCACCCCACCCCAGCAAGACCCCAGGCCCCAGCUCUCAGCCCAGCCACUGGCCUGAACCCCUUACUGGGGUCAUUGCAGAGGCUCCUGAACAGCUUCACUUAUUUGACUGCCUCAAACCCCUGUCAAAGGCCUGUCUGGCUGCCCCCUUAACCAUCUGACCACUCUUUUUUGUGUCCAGCCCUGGGGCCCUGCCAUCUGCACUCACACUGCCCUCUAGAAGCAUUUCCCAGAGGGCCCCGGCUCUCACAGGGAGCCCGUUACGGAGCCGCAUUCUUCCAACCCAUAUGUGUCACAGGCAUUCCCCAGGCCUCACCAUCCCUAUAGUCUCUCUUGACCUUGAUGCUAUUAUUUACAAGUUUGUUUUGUUUGAGACAGGGGUCUCGAUAUUUUGCCCAGGCUGGCCUUGGAACUCAACUGACCUUUCUACCUCAUUUUCCCAAGCUGCUGGAACUAUUGGUGUACAGCCCAGCUUAAGAAGUCAAAUUUUUAAAAUUUAAGCUUCUUUUUAAGCAGUAUCUAUUGUUUGAUGUGCUGAUAUUAUAAUAUUACGAUAAUAUUUUAAUAUUAACUUAUGGAUCAUUUAGUCAUCCUUUAUAGCACAGUGAGAAACAGCAGCCCCACUGUCCCUUGUCCCCUUGGCCUGUUCCCUCCCCUGCCCCAGCAGCACCUCCAGGGACCAUCACAGCACCUGCCUCCUUGGAAGCAGGAGUCCCUCUGUUCAGGAACUCAGCACUGGCUCUGUUCUUCUCCUGUGUCCAGAAAAGGACAAAAAAUCAUAGAGUUAUGUUAACAUUUAUUGAUUUAAACCACUCUAUCAAAGAUGCUAGAGCGCCAAAACUGGCAAUCAAGGAUGCACCUCCAGAGACCUAGAGAGCCUAAGCUGAGCCUAAUCCUGAAACCCUACUGUCAUCCCUGACCCGAGCAGCGCAGCCUGGGCAGAAUGUGAGGAGACACUGUGUCCCACCCUGCUCUGGAGAAGUGCUGGUUCCCACCCCUUCGCUGUUCACUAAGGGGACUGCCUGGCCUCUGCAUUCAGACACUUGCUCUGGGCCAGGACCUACAUGCUGUUGCUAUCAGCAGUUUCAAUGACACACCCAGAGUGAGGCCUGGGGACAGAAGCCAAGUCCCAGCUCCCUCUACCCCACGGUGCCUGUCACACAGCUCUUGUGGCCCCUCCAACUUGCUUCCCCACCACCUGCACACACCGACCUCAUGCAGAACCCUCAGCAUCCCCCUCGCUGGCAGUGCCUGUGCCUUCCUCAGGUGGGCUCCCCCCUCCCACUACUAACCACCCACCCUGGGGUGGCUCCUGUGGCCCCAGGCAGAUACUUCAAAGGCCCCCUCACCUCUGCAGCCCUUGUGCCCACAGCCUCCAGCCUGCUCCAAUCUCCACCCAGGCCAGGGCUACCUCCUCACAGGAGAGGAGCUGCCACGUGCUGGCACCCCAGGGCCAGUGUCUGGCUUUACCAUAUCACCUCAUUUCAUCUCCAAAACUGGUGACGUGCCAGUGCUAGCACCACUCCUCCAACCUCCUAGCUGAAGAAGGGACGGAGAAAGGUGAAGGGGCUCACCCAAGUUGCCUAGUGGCAAGUGGCCCAGGCCACCACCAGAUUCAAGACCCUAAUGCCCCAGGUUCUUACCACCCGUACUGUAGCCUCAGAGGUCCCUUACAUGAGAUGACAGUGACCACUUCCCCCUCGCUUCUGCUCCUACCCAGCUUGUUCUCCUUGAGGUCUCUGGUGUGGACGAGUUCCAGGGCUUGGACCUUGGAUUUGGGUCCUCCUCUUCUCUGUGUCCAACCACAUCAGCCUCCAGGCUGAUGGUCCCAGGCAGUGGUGUGCUAGCAAAUGUUUAACAGACAGCUCUCUGGGGCAGGAAAGGGUAAGGGUGUGUGUGUGUGUGUGUGUGUGUACACACGUGUGUGUGUAUAUGCACACAUACAUUCCUUUAUUAUGCAUUAUAUUGCUAUAAAGGAGUAAAGCACACAGUUUACAAAUAAUAUUAAAAUACACAACACUCUACUUUGAACUUCGCCUAGCUGACUGAUUCUUAUAAAGGCUUUCACUGAUUUUUGCAGCGCUCGUUUCCAUAGCCAUCCUAUGGCUGCCACUGACAAAUGAGUCUAGUUCCGACAUGAAUGUUGCUUGACCUAUAUUUUUGUUUACCUUAAGGAGCAAGAUGAAACAACAAACCCUUAUGGUGGAAUUGUACUUGUUAGAAAAUGAGUAACUUUGUGGAAUCAGCAGUUGUGAAUUACUGUAAAAUGACUCUCUCCAUUUUUUGUGCUAUUGACAAUAUCACUGCUAUAAACAACUUACUUUUAACUGGCAUUGUUAACUUUUUCCUCAUCAUUUUCUUAAGUCUAGACUAUGAACAAAGUGGUAAGUUGAUCUGCAGCAUGUCCCAAUUUCCAUGGUGAAAACACUGUGCCACAUGACUGGCAGUCACUAUGGCAGCCAUCUCCUGGACACAUCCAGAGCUGGAUCAUCUCCAGAUCAUGGUAACAUGUAGGCAUUAGAAAAGGAUUUGCUUUCUGAAUUCAUUACCUUUUUGAAAUUUAGGUUGGAAUUCAAGUACAAUCCACUCUUUCUGAUGUACCAGCCCUGGUGGCCCACGCCAAUAAUUCCACAGCUGGGAAGGCUGAGGCAGGAGGAUCAGGAGUUCAAAACCAGCCUCAGCAACUUAGUGAGCCCCUACAUCUAGACAGAUAAAGUAUUUAGAAAGGGCUUGAGACAUGGCUCACUGGUAAAGCGCCCCUGGAUUCAAUCCCUAGUACAAAGCAAAACAAAACCCCAACUCAUCCCCCAUCAAAGUCCUGGCAAAACCCUUUCCGUAUAUUUUCACCUUUUCCCAAACACAAACAGAACCCUACAGCCUUUCGAGUCUGGCCAAACUGCAUUUCAAUUAGCAUGAUGCUUGUGCAAUGUGUGUGUAUUGUUGUGUAUAGCCUUAGCUCAUUUCUUUUUUACUGCUGAGUAGUAUUCCUUAUGAGGGUGUACUAUAAAUUGUUCAUCCAUUCCCCAGAUGAGGGCCACCUCAGUUGUCUCCAGUUUUUGUUUUUUUAAAAAACAAAUAAAACUGAUAUAUAAGCAUUUGCAUCCAAGGUUUUGUGUAAACAAAUUUUUGUUCAUCUCAACUAAACACAUAGGAAUGAGACCACUAUAUUCUGUGCCAAGAAUAUGUUUACAAGAAACUGCACACUGUUUUCUAUGGGGUCUACGCCAUUCUGCACCCUCCAGCCUGCAAUGAGUGUUCAGUGGCUCCACUUCCUCCUCCUGUGGUGUCAACAGGCUUCUUUGUUUCUGUGGGGUUUUUAAGCCAUUUAAUAGGCAGACAGCAGUGUCUCGCUAUGGUUUCAUUCUAUGUUUCCUUAACUACUAAUAAGGUUUGGCAUCUUUACAUGUGCUUCUCUGCCAUCUGUAUCUUUGUUGGUGAAAUGUCUUUUCAAAUCUUUUGCCUAGUUUUUAUUGGGUUGGGUAUUUUCUUACUGGUGAUUUUCUUACAUACUUAGUCAACUAUCUGAUUUGAAAUAUUUUCCUGGUUGUAACAAGUUUUUUAUUCUCUUAACAGUUUCUUUCAUGGAAUAAAAGUUUUUCCAAUUUAUCAAUGUUUUCAUUUUAUGAAUGGUGAGUUUGAUGUUCUGAGAACUCUGACUCCAGGUCUCAAAGAUUUCUCUCCUGUUUUCUUAUGUUUUAUCAUUUUAUAUUUAGGUCUAUGAUUGAUUUUUGAGUUAAAUUUUGUACAAGAUAUCAGGUAUACAGGUCAGGGCUCAUUUUAAAAAAUACAACUCUCCAAUUGCACCAUUUAUUGAAAAAACAAUCCUUUCUACUUUGAAUUGCCUUUGCACUUUCAUCAAAAACCAACUGACAUGAAAACAAAAACAAACCAAUUAACUACACAGUAGUUUCCCUUUAUCUGUAGUUCUUCUUUCUGUGGUUUUAGUUACCGUUGGUCCAUCAUGGUCCAAAAAUAUUAAAUGGAAAAUUCCAGAAACAAACAUUUCAUAAACUUUAAACUGUAUGACAUUCUGAGUAGCAUGAUAAAAUCUUGCACCAUCCAGAUCCAUCCUGACCAAGCUGUCCAGUGUAACCAUACUGUAUAUACUACCUGCCUAUUAAGUCAUUUAGUAGCCAUUGUGGUCAUCCGAUCAACUGUCAUGUGCUUGUGCUCAUGUAACACUUAUUUAAUAAUGGCCCCAAAGUGUAACAGUAGUGAUGCUGGCAAUCUGAAUAUGUCACAGAGAAGGUAUAAAGUACUCCCUUAAAGUAAAAGGGUGAAAGUUCUCAAUUAAAAAACAAAACAUUGAAUUUGCUAAGAUCUAUAAUAAAAUGAAUCCUAUUAGAGAAAUUUGUAUUGAUUUUGCUAUCACACCUCAAAACUUCAAGUUAUAACCACAGUGUAUGAGAAGUGCUUGGUUAAAACAAAAAACGUAGGAUUAGAGUGUUUGGUACUACCAUUAGUUUUAGGUCUCUGCUGGGGGUCUUGGAACACAUCCUUUGUGGAUAAAGGGGGACUACCAUAUUUGUGUGGGUCUAUUUCUAAAUUCUAGUGUAACUUAUUGACCUAUGUGUCUAUCCUUUGACCAAGGCCACACUUUUUUUUGGAGGGGGUACUAGGGAUUGAACAAGGGGUGCUUUACAACUUAGCUACCUCCCCAGUCCUUUUUAUUUUGGGGCAGGGUCUCAUUAUUGCUAAGGCUGACCUCAAACUUGUCAUCCUCCUGCCUCAGCCUCCCAAAUCACUGAGAUGACACCCAUCACACCAGGUUCACUCUUUUUUUUUUUGGGGGGGUGUGCUGGGGAUUGAACCCAGCACCUUGUACAUGUGAGGCAGGCAAGCUACCAACUGAGCUAUAUCUCCAGCCCCUCACUUUCUUGAUUACUAGUUUUAUGGUCUGAAAAUCAGCUAGUGUAAGUCUCCCCAACUUUGUUCCUCUUUUUCAAAAUUGUCUUAACUAUUCUAGUUGCUUUGUGUUUCCAUGUAAAUUUUCUUGACAUUUAAAAAUUCCUAUUGGAAUUUCAUUGAAUCUAUAGAUCAAUUUUGUGGGAAGUGAUAGCUCAACAAUAUGGAGUCUUCCAACCCAUGAACUCAAUAUAGCUCCUCCUUUAUUUAGAUCUUUGAUUUCUUUCAUCAGUUAUUUGUUGUUUGCAGCAUAACAUCUUGCGCCUAUUGUAUCAGCAUAAAAUCCUACUAUUAUUUCACUUUCAAUGCUAUUAUAACUAGUACUGUUUUUAAUUUCUUCUUGUUUGUUACUAGUAUAUAGAAAUAGAAUUGAUUUUUGUGUAUACCUUAUAUCCUAUGACCUAGCUAAACUCUAGCUGUAUAUUUUUUGCAGAUUCUAUGAGAUUUUCUACAUUGAUAUGUCAUCUGUGAACAGAGUUUUAUUUCUUCUUUUAUGCUUUUAUUUCAUCUUCUUGCCUUCAGGCACCAUCCAGGACUUUCAGCACAAUAUUGAAAAAAAAAAUUGUGAGACAGAUCACUCUUGUCCUGGAUCUUAGGGGAAAGAAUUCAGUCUUUCACCACUAAGCCUGAUGUUAGGUGCAGGUUUUUAUGUAGUUUCCCUUCAGGAGGUAAGGAAAUUCUCCUCUAUUCCUAAUUUGCUGAGAGCAUGUGAAGUGAAUGAAUAUUGGGCUCUGUCAAUUUUUUUCUGCAUCUCUUGAGAUGAUCGUAAGGCUCUUCUCCUUUUUCUUUGCUCUUUUUAGUUAUACAUAUUAGGAUUCAUCUUGAGAUAAGGAUUGGAAUAUAAUUUGCUCUAAUUUAGUCCCCAGUACUUCUCCUUUCCUUCCCCUCUUUUCUACUAGUCUUUGUUAUUUAUUUUAAUUAACUUUUGUCUAGUCAGUGUCUCGUGGAAGUACACGAUGGUGAAGACUCGCUGUGGCGCUUUCCUACAGGUACACAGACAAGCUGGGCAGAUCCAUUCCACUGCUCUUUCCUUGUCCAGUCCCUUCUCAUUCCCUCUCAAUCCCUUCUUCUAUUUUAAUGGAAUCCUCACAUUUUCCUUUCACUUUCUUUAUACACCACAUUUGUACUAAUGGCCUUUCUUCUUUAAUCUGGGAAUAUGGUAACUUGAGCUGAACUAAUCUCUCUUGCUUAGGAUAAACUCCAUUUGCUUACAACUUUUAUACAUUGCUGCAUUGGAUCUGCCAACAUUUUGUUGGACUUCCAUGCUAAGGAUUUAGGGACUUGGGGAAAAUAUAUUGAUAUUCAUGAUGCUGGCCUUGUGUCAUGACUUUGCAAGUGUUUUCUUCUACAGACUGUAUGGAAUCCAUAUUAUUUGGUAGAAUUUGCUAGUGAAACAUCUGGUCUGGAGUUUCCUUUGUAGAAAGACAUUAUGAAUUCAGUUUAUCUAAUUGAUAGGGGAUUCUACUAGUUAUCUGUCUUGAGUGAGUUUUAGCAGUUUGUAUUUGGGGUGAGCAGAACAGUGGCUCCCCAAAAGGUGUCCACAUCCUAAUCCCUGCAACCUGUGGCUACAUUGUUACCUGGCAAAGGGGGACUAAGGAUGUAGACAGAAUCAAGGUUGCAAAUUGAUUUUAAGAUAGGGAGAUGAGCCAGGUGCAGUGGUGCACACCUACAAUUCCAGCAGCUCAGGAAGCUGAGGCAGGAGGAUCCCAAGUUCAAAGCCAGCUUCUGCAAUUUAGCAAGGACCUAAGCAACUUCGUGAGACCCUGUCUCAAAAUAAAAAAUAAAAGGGCCAGGGAUGUGGCUCAGUGGUAAAGUACCUCUGGGUUCAAUCUGGUACCAAAAAAAAAAAAAAGUUUAAAUGAUGUCAUAAAAAGAAUUUGACUUGCUUUUGCAAGGUGACAGUAAAGGAAAGCCUCUGAGGCAAGAAAUUUUCACAAGAAACUGAAAAGGACAGGGAGGUGGCCCCUACCCAGAGCCUAUAAAGAACUGCAGCCCUGUGACACCUUGGUUUUUGCCUCAUGAGAACUGUGGCAGACUUCUAACCUACAGAACUGUAAGAAAGUAAAUCAAGGCAUUUUAAGGCACCAGGUUCAUGAUGAUUUGUUAGAGUAGCAACAGAAACUGAUAACAGUGAAAAACUGUGUUUUUCAAAGAGUUGGUCCAUUAUUUCCUCUAAGUUGUCAACUGAUUUUACAACUUUCUUAUUUAGAGUUGUUUGUAAUAUAUUCACUUAUCUUUUUAAUGCUCUGAGUCCAUACAUAGUGAUAUCCCUCUUUCAUCCCUGAUAUUGGUGAUUUGUGUCUUCCUUCUUUUUCAGAGAACCAUCUUUUAUUUUCAUUGAUUUUCUCUAGCUUUUCCAUCUUCGAUUUUAUUGGUUUCUGCUCAUUAUUUCUUUUUCUUGCAUUCAAUGGGUUUAAUUUGCUUCUUUUACUAGUUUUUUUAAAUUUACCUUUGCUUUUUAAUCUGUUAUUUAAUCAUAAGUUUAUAUAUAUAUAAUUUGUUUAUAUAUAAAUAUAUAUAUAUAUAUAUAUAUAUAUAUAUUUUUUAAGACAAGAGCUAUAUUUAACAACCAGUUCACCACACUUCUAAUCCUCAGGACUCUCUCACACAUGGUGUCUGGCCCUUUUUUUCCCCUAGACUUUUUUCCAAGGCUCCAGACUCUGGCCCCAGCUUCCUGUUCAACAUCCCAUUUGAAUGUCCUAUGGACACCUUGAUAUAAACACACAAACCAUGCCACACAAAGGCCCAAUCCUUUCCCAUCCUCUUUUACCUUCCCUAUUUUUGUUACACCUCCACCUACCCUUCACUGAAGCCCAAAGUGAAGCUGUGUCCUUUGAUGCCUCUUGCCUCACACGCCACAUCCAGCCAGGGAUCCCCUCAGCUAUAUUUAACACCAAGCUUGUAGCUGAGGCCUGCUCCCCCACCACCCUGGCCCCCACCAAACUGACUGGAAUCUGCACCUGUUUCCAGGCUCUGUCCUGGCCUCCAUCAUCUCCUCUCACCAUUUGACAAGAGGGAUACUGUCCCAGCAGGUCUCUCCUCUGUCCCCAAAUUCCUCCCCACAGCCUGUGAGCCUGCUCUUCCUUGCCCACAUUCCUCCCUCCUGCUGAUUCACCUCUUUUCUUGCAAUGCCCCAACCACGUUCCAGCCUGAGGACCUUGCUCUCGCUUCACCCUUGGUCAACAAAGCACUUGCUCAGGUUCCCCCAUGGUUUCCACUAUGCUUCCUUCACACAGCAACUCUGCAGAGGCCUUUCUGGCAUCCUGGUCCCUUUGUGGUGUUUUGCUGACCUUUAGUGCCCUGGCAUUCACCUGGCCUCACACUGAAGGCUUGCUUGUCACACAGAUGAGGGCCUGGCCUGAAGCAGUCCUCCAUCAUGUGUGGAAGGAAUGAAUGAAGGAGCAGCAACCAGGGGAUGCCUAGAGCCCCCACUUCCUCAUGCUAUCAGGAUGAGGGUACACCCUUGGCAAGGCUGACAGGGCCCUGGAGGACAUGGUCACCACUGACCCAUGUGACUCCACCUUGGGCCACAUGCCCCUCAACCACACCACUUCCUCCAGCAACAAUUACCCCAUGGGUUCCUUGAAUGGACCACACUCCCCCCUCAGGCCCUCCUGCAUCUUCUGGGACUGAAAUCCCCUCCCUACCUACCUGAUUUGUCCUUUGAGCCUCCUCAGGUUUCAGUUUGAUUAUCAUCAUCUCAGGGAGGCUUCCCUGACCCAUCCACUAGGUCCAGGGCUUCCUUAGCUCCACCACGGCAUACGUCAUACUGCGCCUCCCACCCUAGCUCCCAGACGGCAAGACCUGUAACUUACUAACCUCAGAGUCUUGAGGCCCAACAUGUACUAAUGCAUAAUCGAUAGAAUCUGAAUGAAAGGCUGAAUGGACAGUGAGUUAAUAAAAACUGAGACUGCUGAGAGACAGAGUGGGGACCUUCACCUUCACCUACACCCCAGUCCCCAUGCCUUUCAGCCUCCCAGAGGGCCUGGUUCAGCCCAGUCCAGGAGCAGGGUACCAACAAUCAGGGUGUAAGCCAGCCAUAGCUCAGUCUACUCCUGGACAUAAGGACAAGAAUCCUGUGAACCCAACAUGUGACAGGGAGAAAAGACAGGACCCAGGCAGGAAGAAGUCACAUCAACCAAAUUCUGGCGGUUACAGCCCCCAUUACCAUUCCUUGCCUAACUUCAGGCCCAGGCUGCACUCCUUGGCCAGUUUCCAGGAUGGCACCCAAAGGAAAGGCAGAAAAGGGGGUCCCUCCAGACCUGCAGAUGACAAUGAACAAUGAAUUGGAUGGUAGGACCAGAAUCACCCCCAAGCAACCCAAGCCAGAACCCUGGCUCACUUGCUGCCCAACUCCUUGGAAGGCAUCAUUGGAUUUUCUCCUGGGCCUAACAGGUUGCAGACUGACCUUCCCCCGCUGAUGCCCUGUCUGAGGAUGUGUUGGGGUUAAGAGGGUGAAGCAGUGCCCCAACGGGCCUGCAGCUCAGUGGCCUGGCUCUUCCCCAGUGCUCCUUCCUCUGUUCCAGAGAUCCCCCACAGCUCAUGGCCUGAGUCUCCCCUGGCGGUACAGAUAUGCUAUUUUGUGAACAUAUGUGAAGGCAGAGGAGACACUGAGACUUCAAUUGGACCUGUACUAGUGGCAUUCCUUUCAUGGGAACCCUUUUUUAUGCCCCCAGAUCAGCCCCUGGUGGUUGUAGAGGCCUCGUGGGCUCCGGGAUCUCUAGCCCCAGCCUUGUCCUGCCACCACCCCAGGGGCCUCAUACAGCUCCUAUAUUCUUGCCAGCCCUUGUUCAAGGCCUGCAUCUGCUCCACAUCUCAGUGUUCACCUCUGCAAGGACAAGCCUGGACCAGGCUCAUACCCAGCAGCAACCUCAAGCCUCCCCUCUCCCAGGGCUGUGUGCCUGGGUAGCAUCAUCCCCCUCUCAGUUCCACUCUGCUGACAUCAUCUCCAGAAUGUCUGACCUUGGCUUUGGCCAGGACCCAGCAUGACCUUUCUGAACUGUGUCCCAUCUGGGUGGCCACAGCAGCUAUGCCAUCUCUCCUGGGCUUGUUUCUACAGCCUGUCAAUGUGAACACUGUUCCCCUAGCUGCACACAGCCUUCUGCAGCAUAGUUGGCGCAGCACGUCCCAGCUCUGGACUCAAGCUGUAUGAUCUCAGGCAGAUCAUUUAGUCUCCCAAGCCACCUCUGUAGAAUACAUCCCCGAGGCUGGGAGAGACUUUAAAGGCUGAAAGGCAGUGGUACCCAACAGUUGGCAGACUGCAAGGCUGAUGCCCAGUAUGCCCAAGCCUAGAGGCAUCCCAUCUGGGGAAACUGUCCCUCCAAAGAGUUAGCCUGGACUCCUGCUCCCUCCUGCUCCCCUGGAAGCAGCUCUGCACACCUCUUCCCCAUAAUUCCUGGGCAUAGUGGAAGGUGGGCAAGAGAUGGGCAGAGAAGAACCAGAAAAGGGACUACAAGGAAUGAGGCUACCCACUUAUCUCAUGUUUCUCUGGGCCUCAGUUUCCCCUCAGCUCAGUGAAGCUGAGAUUUCUAUAAGUUAGAACUGAUGUCAGGGAGAGGAGAGGCGUGGCCUGCACUGGCCUUCCUGACUUCCUGACUGGAGGCCAGGAGGGGCUGCCUGAGCCAGCGGGAGUGAGCCUCUGGUGCAUUGAGAAAGGCUGAAAAACAAAUGCACCAGAAUCCAAAUCAGGAAAGCCCAGAGCUGGGGUUGCCAUGGCAACUUGCAGCAGCUCCCAGCCUGGUGCUCAGCCUUGCUGGAGUGGGGGCUGGGCCUGAUUUGCCAGGCUUGGCUGCCCCUGCCUCCUUCUCAGGCUGGCCUGGCACAGGCCAGAACACAGAGGAGGGACAAGGGCACAGACAGAAGGGUGGCAUGGCUUUCUUGGGUUCCCUCUACUAGCUGUAGCGAGAUCGCUC
RNAcentral lists this long non-coding RNA (19195 nucleotides) under Marmota monax (woodchuck). The record is from RNAcentral. Lineage: Eukaryota; Metazoa; Chordata; Mammalia; Rodentia; Sciuridae.